AACCCUCAUACUGUACAGAAUCUGUGAUGUCCAGACGGUAUUCCUCUGGUGUUCUGCUUUGAAAACUUUUGGAUUUAGGGAUUAACAUAGUUGCCAUGUUUUCCUUUCUUCUCUUAUUUGUUGUGUGUGAUCAGGACAAUUUUGGAGAAGAUGGGCCUGCAGAGGAAAGUCACCCCCUUUGCAGGCCAGAAAGAAAUGGGAUGACUUAAAAAAAACAUACAAAGUAUGUAUGUGUGUUAUCAAGACAAUAAUUCUUAAGAACACAAGUUAAUAAAUGUUCAGUUACUAAGAGUUGUUAUGUUGUUUUUAUUUGUCUACUGUCAUUUUUGAUUUCCUCUGCCUUUAGGAUUGCAAGUAUCCAGGCUCAGGAGAGGGAGUCAGUGGGAAGCCCACUGCUGCUACUUGGCCCUGGUUUGCCCUCAUGGAUGAGGUGAUAGGACAGAUGCCUUCCAUUAGGCCUCCUGUCCUAAUUUCCUCUCUCCCUGAAGACACUCCAGGGCCAAGCACAGCAGUGGGUGACCAAAACGAAAGUGAUGAGGAAGGAAGUGAGCCACCCACAACAGGGAGAAAGAGGCGAAGGGAUAGAGAUGAUAAGCUGCUAGACCUCAGAGAGGACAUGAGGCAGCAAAGAGAGGCUGAGGAGAUGAGAGCAGGGAGAGGAUGGACAGACUGUUUUCACUUCUAGAAAGAUUAGGUCCAAAAUGAGUUAUGCAUUAAGAAAUGUAUUUAUUUGGAUAUAUUUGUUAUGUUGUUAUAUGUGUUGCAUUAGUGUAAAGCUUUUAUGUUAUUAAUAAAUUGAUUAAAAGAAACAGUCAUUGUCACUGAACUCAAUUUAUGGUAACAUGUAUGAACAUAACGCUAACUUUGAACAAUUUUAAAUGGAUAUUUACUUAAUGAAAAUAAAGUCAACAACAGUAACAAUUAAACAAGAACAUUUCUAAUACACCAACAAUAUUUAAAGAAGGAAAAACAAUAUUUACAGUUGUUCACACAGGAUUAACCUGAGUGAUCUGUUCCUGGACCGUUUCUUUAACAACUUUAAUAGAUUACAGGAAGUCUCUGGCAGUGUUGCUGAAUCUGCCGGAGCAAGAUCAGACAUGGAUGGGGUGCUGCAACUGAGACCUGCGGUUUGUCUUUUCUGGUCGGAGAAUCACGCAGGGUGGUCUGCAAAGAGAGCUUUGGGAUGCUUCCUCCCACUGUUCACUGCAUCGUCCAUCCACAGGGUUUGCAGGGAUGGCUCAAUCGACGGCUGCCACACCACUAAGAUGUUUUCAAAAAUAUGCAAGCAGGAGAUGGUGGAUGCUAUAUUUUUACUAGUAUAAUACUUGUAAUUCUGUAGCAGACAACAGUUUGAUAAAGUGCUAUGUAAAAAAAAGAAACCAAAAGAUUCGAUUCUAUAAGUUUCAAAGAGAUUUAGUUUACAUAUUUUAUAUAAUACAGUAAAUGUGAACGAAUGACCGGCAAUCAUUCCUAAAUGCGUGUAGAUUAAAGAAAAUUAGAAGGCUGUCUAAUUUCACAUCCGCUCACUUCUGGCCUACACUGCCAUUGAAAUACCCUCCUAAGUGACACAGGUAGGUAGAAUCCUUGAAGGAUCCUUCCCUGAAUUUGGACACAGCAACAGUCUGUGCUUUCCUCUGUUCCUUGUCAGUCCGUCUGUGUGAUCAUCCUCCACGUUGCCCCUGCGGUCCUUCUGCCUGUUUCCCUGUGUCUCUGUUUUCCAGCCUCUUGUGAUGUGCUUUUCUUAGCUUUUCCCAGUUCAGGUUUUUGCUAAGUUCUUUGUACUUCCAGUUGCCCUCCUGUUUCUUUGUUUGUCUUCUCAGCCAUAAUGGUUUCUUUGUCCAGCUUCGUUCCACAGUUUAAAGACAUGCAAUUAGUGGGGCUAGGUUAAUUGGAGAAUCUAAAAUGCCCAUAGAGCUGACUGUGAGUGUGAAUGAUUUUCUGUAUGUGUUAGCCCUGCGUCAGGCUGGCGAGCUGUCCACAGUGUACCCUGAUAGGCUCCAGCAACCCUGACAGGGAUAAGUGGAAGAGAAUGGAUGGAUGUUGUUGUUGUUAGAGUCCCAGGAUUCUCUUUCUUAGGUUUCAGUUGGUGGACAGCAAACAUCCUGAAGUGAUCAGAGCUCUUCUGAAGAUAAUAUUCCUGUAGACGUGAAACACAGGUCAUAUUGCAUUUUAAACUUGUGGCUAGGUGUAGUGGCUUUCCUAAAUCUCUAAAAAAUACCGCCAAUGAGUUGAAGGCAUAGCAACUUCUAUGUAUAUAAAACAAAAUGUAACUCAGUUUUAAGAUGUUUACUUGAGAAUUAUCAAGAAAAAAUAACAUAUUGCUGCUCUCUGCCUGUCUGCACUACACAUGAUGUCAUUUACUAUAUUAAAGUAACAUUAGAGGACUAAUAUUAACAAAUAGUCAAAUACACAUACACUUAUCAUGAUUUUCUUAUUUGAGAACUAGAAAUUAAUUAUUUAUGCAUGUAUUUAUUUUUUGUGCUACAGUUAAUGCAAGCCGGAAUUUAAAAGGUAUACAUCUUAUCUUGUGUCUGAAUUGUUCUGUUCUGUCUGGUUUGUACUGGUUUUGGUUUUUUUUUUUGCAAUUUUGCACCAUGGUCUUGGAGGAACAUUGUCUUGUUUCACUGUCUACUGUACCACUGCACAUGGUUGGGAUGACAAUAAAGCCACUUGACUUGACUUGACUUGUCUAAAGGGCUUAUACGUAAGGUCGCUAAGACAAGAUUGAAUCUGAUUAUUCAAUGCUUUAUAUGCAAAUAGUUACUGAACACUAAACUGUCAUCACUAAACAACUAAAUCACCUUUAUAUCGAAUUUAAAUUGAUUUGAUUUGAAUGGAAUUAUAUUAACAAUUAUGUUAGUU
Long non-coding RNA from Oreochromis aureus, 2862 nucleotides. The record is from Ensembl. Lineage: Eukaryota; Metazoa; Chordata; Actinopteri; Cichliformes; Cichlidae.